AAUACUAGCUAAUUGUAGUGACAUAGUGUAUGCCUAGUCACAAGGAUGCAUUGUAAGAUCGUGAUAUGUCAUAAAUUAAUCAUGAGUUUACUCAUUGUCAUCUCCAAUAUCGGAUGAACUGAAUAGUAUGUGGUCUCACACACCCCCCAGAAUAAAUCCAACAAAGCAAAGUAUUAAGAAUAUAUUGGCUAAUUUAGUUUGCAUAGGAUAUCAGUUGCUU
RNAcentral lists this long non-coding RNA (220 nucleotides) under Elaeis guineensis (African oil palm). RNAcentral's name for it is "long non-coding RNA (EGUI_LNC025337)". The record is from RNAcentral. Lineage: Eukaryota; Viridiplantae; Streptophyta; Magnoliopsida; Arecales; Arecaceae.